UGGGGAAUAUUGCACAAUGGGCGCAAGCCUGAUGCAGCCAUGCCGCGUGUAUGAAGAAGGCCUUCGGGUUGUAAAGUACUUUCAGCGGGGAGGAAGGGAGUAAAGUUAAUACCUUUGCUCAUUGACGUUACCCGCAGAAGAAGCACCGGCUAACUCCGUGCCAGCAGCCGCGGUAAUACGGAGGGUGCAAGCGUUAAUCGGAAUUACUGGGCGUAAAGCGCACGCAGGCGGUUUGUUAAGUCAGAUGUGAAAUCCCCGGGCUCAACCUGGGAACUGCAUCUGAUACUGGCAAGCUUGAGUCUCGUAGAGGGGGGUAGAAUUCCAGGUGUAGCGGUGAAAUGCGUAGAGAUCUGUAGGAAUACCGGUGGCGAAGGCGGCCCCCUGGACGAAGACUGACGCUCAGGUGCGAAAGCGUGGGGAGCAAACAGG
Molecule: ribosomal RNA, 429 nt
Filed under: Chloroflexota bacterium
Lineage: Bacteria; Bacillati; Chloroflexota
Description: Chloroflexi bacterium partial 16S ribosomal RNA
Rfam family: Bacterial small subunit ribosomal RNA
Source: RNAcentral